AGUUUGGGCACCUCCUGAACCCGUACGUCAUCCGUUAUGGUCCCCACAGCCACAGCCUUUCUGUUUUCCCGGUCAGGAAGCUUUAUGUUCUGGAUCAUCCAGGAGAGGGACAGAGGUGGUCGGUUGGUGCGACUCAUAAACAACCUCUUCAGCACAACCUGGUUGAAUGUGGAGUUGUUCCGUCUGACCAGAAACCUGUACAGUUUGACCAACAGCCUCAGGGUGUUGGUGUCCCUCUGUUGCCCAGGCUGGAGUGCAGUGGCAAGACUGGCUCACUGCAACCUCCACCUCCUGGGAUCAAGCGAUCCUCCCAUCUCAUCCUCCAGGAGCUGGGACUAAAGAAAGAGAAAUUGAUCAGAAUCUACUGACAGUUCUUCCUGUCUGGCUGUGUAAUGGAUUAGCAUAGAGACGAGCAGCACACCUCUGUCAGAAAACCUAAAUUUAAGUCACAUCUCGGGGCUCUAACAAUUUACCACCAACAGCGUCUUUGGAGCUCUGAAGAAGAUCCUGAUUUUCUCAAAAACAAGUCAUUGAGUUCUACACUGUAAAGCAAGACAUGGAUUACUACAUCCUAUAUUUUAUAAUACACAUGAACACAUUAGGAAGGAGUAUGCAGGAUUUAAUAUUCUCUGUAUAUUUCUGCUACAUUGUUUCUAAAGAGAGUAGUGGAAUAGUCCUCCUGUAUCUUCUAUUAAUGCCUCCUUACUUCCUUAAUUUUGAUUGAAUUACAUAUUUUCUGACUCUAUGUGACAUGAAUUACACUUAAACAUCAUACUUCUUAGCCAACAGAUGUGCAAAGUUGUGACAUACCUUAGAAAAUUUUUCAUAUUGUUUAUCUCAUUUGGCUAAUAGAUGGAAAUCAUGCAAACUAGUAAGAAUUAUCUGAUAGCUCCUGUAUGAAAACUCAAAUUUUUCUUAGGAGAAAAACCAAUUAUUCACAUUUUUACUUGGAUGAGCAUUCACUUGUGGUCAGUGCUAUAACAGGAAGAUCUCUCAGGGUACCCAAUGUGGGAUCAUUUUUAGUUUGCCAAAUGAUGAAAUUUCCAGACAGAAAGAGCCCUUUUUGAAUAAUAAAUUACUGCAACAUAUCUACAAGAACACUUCCAAAAUAAAAGUGUUCAUUUUAUUUUAGAGCAAGGGACUUUCCCACUAGCUUAGUAUUAAAAUUACAUGAUUGUAAUGUAUGGGAGAUUACUGGGAACAUAAUCAAUAUUUUGAAAUUUAAAAGUAUGUAAUAUUCCUUUGGGGUAAGUUUCCGAAGAAUAACUGUAACACUUUGAAUUUGUCUACCACUACAAAGUCAUCAUAAACCAUACAUCAACCAACUCAAUUUACAGCACCUAAAAUUUGCUUCCUAUAUAAAUUAACAGAUUAAGUCUUUAGUAUAGUCUAUUCUUUGGUCAGUGUUGUAAGUAUGAUCUUAUGUUAGAAACCAGAUUUAAAACUCCUUGAAAUCUCUCACUAUUUCAUCCAUCUUGAUAGUGCUUGUUUUCUUCAACAAAUAAAAAAUAGUGUUUAUUUUACUCUUUUGAUAUACU
Molecule: long non-coding RNA, 1538 nt
Organism: Homo sapiens (human)
Lineage: Eukaryota; Metazoa; Chordata; Mammalia; Primates; Hominidae
Source: Ensembl